AGGCACAGACAGCCGGGCAGAAAUUCUGAGGUUACGCAGACGAUUUUUAAAGGACCGAGACAAACUCAGUUUGCUUUAUGCCAAAAAAGGCCUUGUGGAACAAAAAUGAGAGAAGGAUAUCAAGAACGAGUUAAAAGUGAAGCAGGACGCCAAGAUUAUUCUGUACAGAAGUUAUCGACAAGGGGACCUCCCAGACAUCCAGAUACAGCACAGCAGUCUGAUCACCCCCUUGCAGGCUGUGGCCCAGAGGGACCCAAUAAUUGCAAAACAACUCUUCAGCUGCUUGUUUUCUGGGAUUCUGAAAGAGAUGGAUAAAUUUAGGA
Molecule: long non-coding RNA, 323 nt
Organism: Nannospalax galili (Upper Galilee mountains blind mole rat)
Lineage: Eukaryota; Metazoa; Chordata; Mammalia; Rodentia; Spalacidae
Exons: 3
Source: RefSeq, a predicted model, not a curated record